RNAcentral lists this ribosomal RNA (407 nucleotides) under uncultured bacterium. RNAcentral describes it as "partial 16S ribosomal RNA". It matches the Rfam family "Bacterial small subunit ribosomal RNA", at positions 28 to 526 of the family's 1533-position model. The record is from RNAcentral.
GACGAACGCUGGCGGCGUGCCUAAUACAUGCAAGUAGAACGCAGUUGCGAACGGGUGAGUAACGCGUAGGUAACUGCCUGGUAGCGGGGGAUAACUAUAGGAAACGAUAGCUAAUACCGCAUACUACCAGAUGGACCUGCGUUGUAUUAGCUAGUUGGUGAGGUAACGGCUCACCAAGGCAACGAUACAUAGCCGACCUGAGAGGGGGAUCGGCCAAACUGGGAAUGAGACACGGCCCAGACUCCUACGGGAGGCAGCAGGAGGGAAUCUUCGGCAAUGGGGGGAACCCUGACCGAGCAACGCCGCGUGAGUGAAGAAGGUUUUCGGAUCGUAAAGCUCUGGUGUUAAGGAAGCGGUACUUAACCAGAAAGGGACGGCUAACUACGUGCCAGCAGCCGCGGUAAUAC